RNAcentral lists this ribosomal RNA (421 nucleotides) under Actinomycetes bacterium. RNAcentral's name for it is "Actinobacteria bacterium partial 16S ribosomal RNA". It matches the Rfam family "Bacterial small subunit ribosomal RNA", at positions 355 to 776 of the family's 1533-position model. The record is from RNAcentral. Lineage: Bacteria; Bacillati; Actinomycetota; Actinomycetes.
UGGGGAAUCUUGCGCAAUGGUCGAAAGACUGACGCAGCGACGCCGCGUGCGGGAGGAAGCCCUUCGGGGUGUAAACCGCUGUUACUCGGGACGAACUUCCCGAUUUGUCGGGAUUGACGGUACCGGGGGAGGAAGCACCGGCUAACUCUGUGCCAGCAGCCGCGGUAAUACAGAGGGUGCGAGCGUUGUCCGGAAUCACUGGGCGUAAAGGGCGCGUAGGCGGCUUUUCACGCGUGCGGUGAAAGCUCGGGGCUUAACUCCGAGUCUGCCGUGCGAACGGGGAGGCUUGAGUCUGGUAGAGGUCGAUGGAAUUCCGGGUGUAGCGGUGGAAUGCGUAGAGAUCCGGAAGAACACCGGUGGCGAAGGCGGUCGACUGGGCCAGUACUGACGCUGAGGCGCGACAGCGUGGGGAGCAAACAGG